RNAcentral lists this ribosomal RNA (2610 nucleotides) under Triticum aestivum (bread wheat). RNAcentral's name for it is "partial small subunit ribosomal RNA". Lineage: Eukaryota; Viridiplantae; Streptophyta; Magnoliopsida; Poales; Poaceae. The record is from RNAcentral.
AUGGUUUUCUCCUUGAGAGAGAAGAAUAUCCAAGAUAAACAAGCAAAUGAGGUCGCAAUGUUUGACAUGCACAGGCACAAUGGAGUGGUGAAACUGAGAAAAGCAUGCAGAAUAGUUGUGGAACAUCUUCGUAGGUCUCAAGCUGAUUCAGAGGACAGAGGUGGUCAAACAAAGCUAAUAGUUGAAUGGCUCACUAUGCUAACAAACCUAAUAGUUGAAUGGUUCACUAUGCUACUAUAUGCGUUUCUGAAGCACAUGAGGUACCAGCGUGAGAAGCUUGAUUUACAGCAAUCGAAGGUGUGGACUAAGGAGUUGCAGUUGAAGGAAAAGUUCCUUCACGAAGCAAAAUAUGGCCAAUUAGAUCAUACUUUUGAUCAGCGUAUUUAUUUACCAGAUUCAGGCUUUGCUAUUGAGGAAUUCAGCCACUUUAACUCCUGUGUUGAUACAGCUACUUUGGCAAACUGUCCGCAGUCUUUGCACAAAACUUCAGUGAUGGAAGUUACAUUGGUUGGUAGUGUGAUUCCAUCUGAUGUAAUCAAUGCAGACACAGCGAGAAAUGGUUCUGCUGAAGUUCUUAUCCACAAUGAAGGCAGGCUAGCAUCAGAAGGUAUUGGUUUGACAGAGAACAUGAUCAGCAAUAGUAUUGAUUGCAUCGACUCGCAAGGAGGGGCAUCUCUGGCUGUUCAACAUCAACUAAAUUCUAGUCCUGCAAUUGAUAAUUCUAUUAAUCAGGAAUCUUCAAGUGGGGAACAUAGAAGGACUGAACAUGUUGAGCGACAGAGUGGCGUGGGUUUGCAACAAUUACCGGGAGAGACUGACCAACAUUUAGGAGAUGCUGAAAUGGAAGUUGACACCGGCAAUGGGGACAAUACUCAGGCAGAUCCACCUUACUUAGAACCACAGACUGUGGCGCCUGUGCCCAGCCACGCUUCCUUGCAAAAGCCUAAGGAAGUCGAAGCUGUGGCCAAUCUUGUAAUGCAGUCAGCCCAACCACUUGUAGCACCAGCACGACGUCUGCAAAGAGAGGCAGAACAAGCAGAUCGUUCUGGUAUAACACAAGCUCAGACUUUGCAACCUGAAAUGCAACCAUCAGCAUCCAGGGAAGCUUAUACUCAGACAGAUGUGAUAAUUCAGUCUGCACAACCAAGUAUGGUGCCAACUGAGCUUUCACAAAGAGAUGUAGAACAAGCAAGCCUUUCUCGUGCACCGUUGUCUCAGUGUUUGCCAUCUGCAAUGCAUCCAUCGGCUCCACUGUCCAGUAUUCCGCUUGAAAGAACACACCCUGAUCAGUGUCAACCAAGUCAUCAACCCGAGGCUGCACUGGGUUCUUCAGCACAACUCUUUCCGGUGGCAUCAAUGAUUCUUAACCAUCCACCACUUGGUGAUGAUGCACUGAGAAAUGAGUUGCACAGAUUACGAUUACACAUUGACUCGCUUAAUAAAACCCACCAACUAAAGCAAUCACAACUUAGGACCGAGUAUAGCCAAGAAAUGGAGAAGCUCAAACAAAAGUAUGAUUUGUUACUUCAAAAACAAGAUUCCACUCAUCUUCAGCAAACGAAGACACUUCAUAAUUUAUGUGAGAAAGUUCUCCUCAACCUGUCACUAGCUGACGAUCUUCGGGGUCAAUUCAUAUCUUAUGGAGAACAAGUUGGAGCCCACAGCCCUCCAAAUCACCAGACACCCCAGGCUUCUCAGCAAGUUCCCACGAGUCCUUCAGCGGUGGCAUCGACUGCAUCACCAACUGCGUCGUCGUCAGCUGGUCGACCACCAGCGCCGACGCAUCAUGUCCAACCGUUGCAGGUCGAUCGACCAUCACCAUCAUCAUCACCAUCUUCACAAGUGGUCAGACCACAUCCCUCCAUACUAAGCAACAUUGCCAGAUCAACAUCAACUAGAUUUAGCCUCGCGCCAGUUCUGCCACCAGGAAGCUUUGGAGUCCAGAGUGAACUAGCACGUGCACCUGCUCCUCAUCUUCAGCGCAGGUUGCCUCCACAGGUGCAUUCAAUGGCAUCUGCAAAUCAGCAGCAGCUUCCAACUAGGCUGGAGAGCAUGUCUGCAAGGACAUGGUCUACCCCUGUCACUCCAAUAAAUAUAAGACAAUCAUGCCCACAGGCCGCUCCCCCAGGGAACCCAUCACUGUCAAGCUUGCACCCAAGUUCACACCUCACUAUACCGGCACCCUUGGGGCCAUCAAGUUCACAUCAAAUUCGGCAGGUUCCAGCAGUGCCAUCAAGUUCACACCCAACACACCUGCUGUCGCCAGUACCUUCGAUUCCAAAUCCAGUUCUUCCACUAACAUCACCGCGAGGUUUGACAACGAAAUCUAGCGUUUCAUCAGCUGCAUUGAAUGUGUUGCCAAGUAAAGGUGUUGGGCCUUCAGCAUCAGGCUCGCCGGAGUCAGAUUCUGAUUCAGCAUCACUGGAUGAAUGGCUAACAGGUCUUGGGCUGCCCAGUGAUCCCCAUGACAUGGCGGCUUCUGCUAAUGUAAUAUACCUAUCUGAUGAUGAAGAGACCGGUGACCAAAACAAGCAAAAAAUGGCGCUCAUCACUGAAGAGCUCCAACAGAAGCUUGCGGUCGAAGGUGGUGCUUGCAAACAAGAAAAGUGA